RNAcentral lists this ribosomal RNA (459 nucleotides) under uncultured bacterium. RNAcentral's name for it is "partial 16S ribosomal RNA". It matches the Rfam family "Bacterial small subunit ribosomal RNA", at positions 338 to 795 of the family's 1533-position model. The record is from RNAcentral.
CCUACGGGAGGCAGCAGUGAGGAAUAUUGGUCAAUGGCCGGAAGGCUGAACCAGCCAUGCCGCGUGAAGGUCAGUGCCCUAUGGGCGUUAAACUUCUUUUGUGCGGGAGCAAUAAUGGUCACGUGUGGCCAGACGAGAGUACCGUACGAAUAAGCAUCGGCUCACUCCGUGCCAGCAGCCGCGGUAAGACGGGGGAUGCAAGCGUUAUCCUGAUGCACGGGGUGUAAAGGGAGCGUAGACGGGCAUGCAAGACAGGGGGGAUAGCCCGGGGCCCAACCCCGGGACUGCCCUUGGAACUGCAUGGCUGGAGUGCGGGAGGGGCAGGCGGAAUGCCUGGUGUAGCGGUGAAAUGCGUAGAUAUCAGGAGGAACACCGGCGGCGAAGGCGGCCUGCUGGACCGCGACUGACGUUGAGGCUCGAAAGCGUGGGGAGCGAACAGGAUUAGAUACCCCAGUAGUC